AGAACCUGAAACCGUGUACGUACAAGCAGUAGGAGCACCUUCGUGGUGUGACUGCGUACCUUUUGUAUAAUGGGUCAGCGACUUAUAUUCAGUGGCAAGGUUAACCGUAUAGGGGAGCCGUAGCGAAAGCGAGUCUUAACUGGGCGCUCAGUCUCUGGAUAUAGACCCGAAACCGGGUGAUCUAGCCAUGGGCAGGUUGAAGGUUGAGUAACAUCAACUGGAGGACCGAACCGACUAAUGUUGAAAAAUUAGCGGAUGACUUGUGGCUAGGGGUGAAAGGCCAAUCAAACUCGGAGAUAGCUGGUUCUCCCCGAAAGCUAUUUAGGUAGCGCCUCGGACGAAUACUACUGGGGGUAGAGCACUGUUAAGGCUAGGGGGUCAUCCCGACUUACCAACCCUUUGCAAACUCCGAAUACCAGUAAGUACUAUCCGGGAGACACACGGCGGGUGCUAACGUCCGUCGUGGAGAGGGAAACAACCCAGACCGCCAGCUAAGGUCCCAAAGUAUUGCUAAGUGGGAAACGAUGUGGGAAGGCUCAGACAGCUAGGAUGUUGGCUUAGAAGCAGCCAUCAUUUAAAGAAAGCGUAAUAGCUCACUAGUCGAGUCGGCCUGCGCGGAAGAUGUAACGGGGCUAAGCAAUACACCGAAGCUGCGGCA
Molecule: ribosomal RNA, 658 nt
Filed under: Vibrio cholerae
Lineage: Bacteria; Pseudomonadati; Pseudomonadota; Gammaproteobacteria; Vibrionales; Vibrionaceae
Description: partial 23S ribosomal RNA
Rfam family: Bacterial large subunit ribosomal RNA
Source: RNAcentral